This 1353-nucleotide long non-coding RNA is filed under the name Betta splendens (Siamese fighting fish). RNAcentral's name for it is "lncRNA (ENSBSLG00000016906.1)". Lineage: Eukaryota; Metazoa; Chordata; Actinopteri; Anabantiformes; Osphronemidae. The record is from RNAcentral.
CCUUGUCGGUUUAUUGUUCGCCCACAGCUGUUUGAAGCCGUCCAGGUUUGAUCGAGUUAUUUCGCCUUGUGACCAUAGUCCUCGCUGUUGUAUUUUUGUUUCACGUUGACGUAGAUUUUGUUUGUGCUGGCCACGCCAGGUUUCCGUACUUUGUACGCGCUUUGAGUUUACGGUUUUUUUUCUGUUCGCACGGUGAGCGUUUUGCCCGUGCCAUUUCGGACUAAAAAGGACACUGACGUGAGGACGGUCCUCCGUCGUUCGGAUCGCGCGCUACUAGCCGUCGGACCCGGUAUUGUUACGUGAAGCGCUGUGCGCGCACCAUUGUGCUCCUCCACAGACACCGUGGGAAGGAACCUCCGGAAUAACGCUGGAACGAGGACCCGGUCUCCACAGCCACGCCAUCGCUGUUCCUCAACCUGCCUCAUGCUCGGAGCUUCACCUCGCGUUUGCCCUGUUUUACCAGGGACGCUACUAUCUAGGACGAGUUUACGCCCACGCACCCUUGUUUCCUUUUUUUUCUGUAAAUAAAACCCUUUUGUGUGCAUACUAGGUCUCUGACUCGGUUCUGUGGAACACUCCCUGGGGGUCCAGCUGCGCAUUUAAUGGUGCACAGGGUAACAUUUCUCUGACACCAGCAUGUAAAUCAGUUGGCAGUUGUGUUUGCUAGAUUGGCUGAUGCUAGUUUGACGUUGAAUCUAGCAAAAAUGCGAAUUUGGACUAACCACUCCAAAUUAUUUAGGAAAAUUGGUUGGUCAGGGUAAAGUCUGCCCUGUUACUGCUAAGGUGGAAGCAAUCUUUGAAUUUCGUGCUCCUACAUCUUGCCGUGAGUUAAAGCAAUUUCUUGGGUUGGCAGGGUACUACAGGAGUUUUUGUAAGAACUUUGCCACAGUGGCUGUCCCUUUAACCACCCUGCUUAGCCCAAAAGUUUCUUUCGUAUGGUCAGAACCGUGACGACUUGCGUUCUUACAUCUUAAGGCCUUGUUGAGUAAUGCUCCACUGCUUGCUGCUCCUGAUUUUAACAAGCCCUUAAAACUUGCUGUGGAUGCAAGUGAUGUGAGUGCUGGUGUUGUUCCUCUAAGCUGGUCCAUUAGGCAUUGAACAGCCUGUGUGCAACUUCUAUAAGUUUACUUUACAUCAGAAAUGGUAUUCCAUCAUAAAGAAGGAGGCACUAGCGCUUAAGCUGGCCUUAGAGCAUUUCCGGGCCAGGUCAUUGUGGUUUAUACAGACCACAAUCCACUAGUUUUCCUGGGCAGGACGGAGAACUCAAAUUACCGGCUAAUGAGAUGGUGCCUCUUCCUGCAGGAGUUCAACGUGGACAUCCAGCAUAUUCGUGGGAAGGACAAUGAGUUAGCG